This 515-nucleotide ribosomal RNA is filed under the name uncultured bacterium. Its description in RNAcentral is "bacterial SSU rRNA". It matches the Rfam family "Bacterial small subunit ribosomal RNA", at positions 330 to 842 of the family's 1533-position model. The record is from RNAcentral.
ACCAGACUCCUACGGGAGGCAGCAGUGAGGAAUAUUGGUCAAUGGCCGAGAGGCUGAACCAGCCAAGUCGCGUGAGGGAAGAAUGUCCUAAGGAUUGUAAACCUCUUUUGUCGGGGAGCAAAAAGGCUCUGCGGAGUCGUAUUGAGAGUACCCGAAGAAAAAGCAUCGGCUAACUCCGUGCCAGCAGCCGCGGUAAUACGGAGGAUGCGAGCGUUAUCCGGAUUUAUUGGGUUUAAAGGGUGCGCAGGCGGCGUGUCAAGCAAGCGGUAAAAUAGCGGGGCUCAACCCCGUCGAGCCGUUUGAACUGGCGCGCUUGAGUUCAGGCGAGGUAGGCGGAAUUCGUGGUGUAGCGGUGAAAUGCAUAGAUAUCACGAAGAACUCCGAUUGCGAAGGCAGCUUACCAGUCUGCGACUGACGCUCAGGCACGAAAGUGUGGGUAUCGAACAGGAUUAGAUACCCUGGUAGUCCACACAGUAAACGAUGAGCGCUAGGUGUCCGGGUCGCAUGAGACUUGG